GAUCUUUAUUUUUUUUUUAUAUAAGUUAAUAAGUUUUUAAAAAUUUAUAAUAAAAUUAAAAAUUUUACUGGGGUGGUAUUAAAAUUUAAUAAACUUUUAAAAUUUUAUACAUUAAUAUAUGAAUAUUUGAUCCAAUUUUAUUGAUUAAAAAAUUAAGUUACCUUAGGGAUAACAGCGUAAUUUUUUUUUAGAGUUCAUAUCGACAAAAAAGAUUGC
This 216-nucleotide ribosomal RNA is filed under the name Wyeomyia pseudopecten. RNAcentral's name for it is "partial 16S ribosomal RNA". The record is from RNAcentral. Lineage: Eukaryota; Metazoa; Arthropoda; Insecta; Diptera; Culicidae.